UAGGGAGAAGACACUUCAACGUAUUUUUAAUCCUCUCUGUUAGCCGCGACCGCGCUCACUCGACACGAGUCUCCGCCAGGAAUAGCGCUGUAUUCCGCGGAUCGUCGACGGAUCAACUUGUGGCUGCGAGAAACGAGUGGAAAGGAAAGUGUCGACGCACUGUUUCAGAUUUUUCUGAAGGACUUGUUCUGAAGGAAUCUCGAAAAAGAACUAGAGAAAAAUAAAAAAUUUGACCAAAUGGAAGUUCAUCGAUCAUUCUCUGUUUCUUCUGUUCCACUUAAUUCGAUGGAACCUCCAAUUAUUACUUCAAACAGAAAAUUUCACUGAAAUAUGCGGAGGAGAAAUUCAUUCGAGGGUGAACACCGUUCGUCGCGCAACGGAGGAAUGUAAACCACGUAAAUGAUUCGAAAUUGAAAAUGGUAUCGCGAUAAAAUUGUUCACCGGCGUGUGGAGAAAGGAAAUAAAGGGAAGUUUCAUUUCAACUACGCACAAAAAUCAAUAUUAAAAUAAAGGUGAUGGAAAAUUUCUCGUCCAAUGUAUUUUUACACAGGGUGGCCCGUAAUUCAUAUUACAAAUAGGGUCAGGGGGAGUUUUAUGAUUCGAAAUAAGACGAAAAUCAAGAAUAACGAAAUUACGCGAGAGAAUUCGUUUUCGGAUAAAUUAAAAGGUUGAUUUUUUAAAUAUAAAUAAAAUUAAUUUUUUGUAGAAUAGAUUGUUGAUAGAAAAUUGUUUUAAAUGUGAAAAUGAGAAAUAAAAAAAUGUAUAAUAUAUCUAUUUAUAUGUAAUAUAAUGAUAUAAUCAUUUAAAAAUUAGUUUUCAAGAAAAUCGAAUUUGAAAAUUCAUGAAAUUACGACUAUAUAUGUUCAAUUUUAAUUUUUUCAAAAACAAUGAUAAAUUUUAUUCUAUACUUUUUGCUUUUUUUACAUUUAAAGUAAUCAUCAUCUGUGGAUAAUUCGUAUCCAAUCAAGAAUUAAUUAAUGUUAUUUGUAUUUGAAAAUUGUUCAAAAUUGAUUUAUUCGGGAAUAAAGCUUUAUAUGAAAAAAUUGUUCUAAAAUUUUACAUUUUUAUUUUAUUUUAUAAUCAUAUAAUCUUUUUUACUUUAUUUAUAUCAUGAAUUAUGGAUCACCCUGUAUAUAUAUAUCUCAAUUUUAUUAGAUAUUAUAUAUUAAAUUUCUUUUAAAAAAAUUUUUUUAUUUUUAAAAUUUAAAAAAAAAGAGAAUCAAAAUUACAAAAAUAAGAGAUUACUCGUAAAAAUUAUUUUUCUUUUAUAAGUAAAAUUUUAUUGUUUCUUGAAAAAAAAAUUAAAUGAUAUGGUACACAUAUAGAAGAAACUGAUUCUUAUUCUUUGCAUCUUCGUAUGUUUUAUAAUUUAUAAGAUUUUUAUUGCUCCUUUCCUUUAUAGUUCUAUCCUUUGACUCAUGAACGUCGACGUGUUUUAUAAACUUCCACAUUUCUAUUUUAUAUUUUACGGAGGAGUUUUGUAAAUAAAAUUCGAUGGCAUAAAGUUACAUUCCGGAUAUUAUGCAGAUUCAAAGGUAGAAUAAAAGAACGCAAAAUGUAAAAAGAAUAAACGGAAAUAUUUUUGAA
This is a long non-coding RNA of Apis cerana (Asiatic honeybee), 1587 nucleotides long. RefSeq lists it as uncharacterized. Lineage: Eukaryota; Metazoa; Arthropoda; Insecta; Hymenoptera; Apidae. The record is from RefSeq and is a predicted model, not a curated record.